This 1081-nucleotide ribosomal RNA is filed under the name Escherichia coli. Its description in RNAcentral is "partial 23S ribosomal RNA". It matches the Rfam family "Bacterial large subunit ribosomal RNA", at positions 688 to 1767 of the family's 2925-position model. The record is from RNAcentral. Lineage: Bacteria; Pseudomonadati; Pseudomonadota; Gammaproteobacteria; Enterobacterales; Enterobacteriaceae.
CUGGGCGUUAAGUUGCAGGGUAUAGACCCGAAACCCGGUGAUCUAGCCAUGGGCAGGUUGAAGGUUGGGUAACACUAACUGGAGGACCGAACCGACUAAUGUUGAAAAAUUAGCGGAUGACUUGUGGCUGGGGGUGAAAGGCCAAUCAAACCGGGAGAUAGCUGGUUCUCCCCGAAAGCUAUUUAGGUAGCGCCUCGUGAAUUCAUCUCCGGGGGUAGAGCACUGUUUCGGCAAGGGGGUCAUCCCGACUUACCAACCCGAUGCAAACUGCGAAUACCGGAGAAUGUUAUCACGGGAGACACACGGCGGGUGCUAACGUCCGUCGUGAAGAGGGAAACAACCCAGACCGCCAGCUAAGGUCCCAAAGUCAUGGUUAAGUGGGAAACGAUGUGGGAAGGCCCAGACAGCCAGGAUGUUGGCUUAGAAGCAGCCAUCAUUUAAAGAAAGCGUAAUAGCUCACUGGUCGAGUCGGCCUGCGCGGAAGAUGUAACGGGGCUAAACCAUGCACCGAAGCUGCGGCAGCGACGCUGAUGCGUUGUUGGGUAGGGGAGCGUUCUGUAAGCCUGCGAAGGUGUGCUGUGAGGCAUGCUGGAGGUAUCAGAAGUGCGAAUGCUGACAUAAGUAACGAUAAAGCGGGUGAAAAGCCCGCUCGCCGGAAGACCAAGGGUUCCUGUCCAACGUUAAUCGGGGCAGGGUGAGUCGACCCCUAAGGCGAGGCCGAAAGGCGUAGUCGAUGGGAAACAGGUUAAUAUUCCUGUACUUGGUGUUACUGCGAAGGGGGGACGGAGAAGGCUAUGUUGGCCGGGCGACGGUUGUCCCGGUUUAAGCGUGUAGGCUGGUUUUCCAGGCAAAUCCGGAAAAUCAAGGCUGAGGCGUGAUGACGAGGCACUACGGUGCUGAAGCAACAAAUGCCCUGCUUCCAGGAAAAGCCUCUAAGCAUCAGGUAACAUCAAAUCGUACCCCAAACCGACACAGGUGGUCAGGUAGAGAAUACCAAGGCGCUUGAGAGAACUCGGGUGAAGGAACUAGGCAAAAUGGUGCCGUAACUUCGGGAGAAGGCACGCUGAUAUGUAGGUGAAGU